This 331-nucleotide ribosomal RNA is filed under the name uncultured Synergistaceae bacterium. RNAcentral describes it as "bacterial SSU rRNA". It matches the Rfam family "Bacterial small subunit ribosomal RNA", at positions 1053 to 1382 of the family's 1533-position model. The record is from RNAcentral. Lineage: Bacteria; Thermotogati; Synergistota; Synergistia; Synergistales; Synergistaceae.
CGUCAGCUCGUGUCGUGAGAUGUUGGGUUAAGUCCCGCAACGAGCGCAACCCCUGCAUUCAGUUGCCAUCGGGUAAUGCCGGGCACUCUGGAAGGACUGCCAUCGACAAGAUGGAGGAAGGUGGGGAUGACGUCAAGUUCUCAUGGCCUUUAUGACCAGGGCUACACACGUACUACAAUGGCCGAUACAAAGGGCAGCGACACUGCGAGGUGAAGCCAAUCCCGUAAAAUCGGUCUCAGUCCGGAUUGCAGUCUGCAACUCGACUGCAUGAAGUUGGAAUCGCUAGUAAUCGCGGAUCAGCCAAGCCGCGGUGAAUACGUUCCCGGGCCUU